AACGUAGGUACCGAGCGUUAUCCGGAUUUACUGGGCGUAAAGCGUGUUCAGGCGGCCUGGCAAGUCGGGCAUGAAAUCCCUCGGCUCAACCAAGGAAGUGCAUCCGAAACUGCUGAGCUUGAGUACGUAAGAGGAUCGCGGAAUUCCCGGUGUAGAGGUGAAAUUCGUAGAUAUCGGGAGGAACAUCAGUGGCGAAGGCGGCGAUCUGGGAAGAUACUGACGCUGAGGUGCGAAAGCGUGGGGAGCAAACAGG
RNAcentral lists this ribosomal RNA (253 nucleotides) under uncultured bacterium. Its description in RNAcentral is "partial 16S ribosomal RNA". It matches the Rfam family "Bacterial small subunit ribosomal RNA", at positions 524 to 776 of the family's 1533-position model. The record is from RNAcentral.